This 200-nucleotide ribosomal RNA is filed under the name uncultured bacterium. Its description in RNAcentral is "partial 16S ribosomal RNA". It matches the Rfam family "Bacterial small subunit ribosomal RNA", at positions 28 to 225 of the family's 1533-position model. The record is from RNAcentral.
GAUGAACGCUAGCGGCAGGCUUAAUACAUGCAAGUUGAGGGGCAGCACAGGUAGCAAUACUGGGUGGCGACCGGCAAACGGGUGCGGAACACGUACGCAACCUUCCUUUAAGUGGGGGAUAGCCCAGGGAAACUUGGAUUAAUACCCCUUAACAUUAUGAGAUGGCAUCAUUUUAUAAUUAAAGCUCCGGCGCUUAAAGA